UAGCACAGCUGUUUCUAGGGUCUGGAAAAACUCUAAGGACCCCCAGGAGGAUACACACCAGAUUGGGUCUGGGCUCACACCACCCUGCAUCCCCAGAGCCUCCCUGGACGCUGUUUGCAAGGUCCUCACCGCCUGGAAGUCCAGGAGCCAUUUUUAGGGAACAGCAUUCAAACUCAACACGGCAAGUUCCCUCUUUCCUGCAGGGGAGGACCAGAAGGGAGCCGGAGAUGGGGGAGAAGGGUGGGAGGUGGAUGGUUUGGAAAAGGGAUGGAGACCCAGACAGAGCGAAGCCAGCCAGCCAGGGUGAGGGAACAAGCUGCUGUGCUGCCCAGGAGAGGCCUGGCCUCAGGCUGCCACCCUCAGGGAGGUAGACGCGGCUGUGACAGCAGCACAGAAUGACGGCCAAGGGCGACAGCAGGGGCUGGCCAUGCUGUAAAGGGGCUUCCUGGGAGGGUCCAGCCUCAGGAAUCAACGGGAAAUCCUGAGCCGAGAAUUCUGAAGAUCUCCUCCCUCCCUGAAGCUGUGGGCUGGGCCGUCGGAAAACUUUCAGUUUUGUUUCCUUGCCUGCAAGAAACGAAACUCAACCGAAAGCCUGCAGAGAGCAGAACAUGGAAGGAGACUUCUCGGUGUGCAGGAACUGGUAAGAAAGCGCUUUCUCCAGCGGCAGACCCGGGCUGGCGAGGGAGAGACGCAGACGACAUAGGGCUGUUUCUGAAGGGAGCAGAAAGUGGUUCCUGCAUAAGAACACUUAGGAGGACAAGCAGCUGGAGACCGUGGGCCCCAAGGUAAAAGACAUGUAGUCUCUGCCAACUUCACCCUCCAUGAGGCUUACUGCCUGCGGUUCCUGGUCCUGUGUCCGGAGUGUGAGGAGCCUGUCCCCAAGGAAACCACGGAGGAGCACUGCAAGGUGGAGCACCAGCAGGUGAGGAGGCGGCAGGGAGGAUGGGGUCUGAGAGUCAAGGCGAGUGUUCAGUCCUCCCUGCAGGAGAGAUGGGGUCUGAGAGGUGGGGGAUGAGGGUCUAGUCCUCCCUGCAGGUGAGAUGGGGUCUGGGAGUCAAGGUGAGUGUUCAGUCCUCCCUGCAGGUGAAAUGGGGUCUGGGAGGGGCAAGUGUUCCAUCUUCCCUGCAGGAGAGAUGGGGUCUGGGAGUCACGGAGUGGGUCCAGUCCUCCCUGCAGGAGAGAUGGGGUCUGGGAGUCACGGAGUGGGUUCAGUCCUCCCUGCAGUUGAAAUGGGGUCUGGGAGGGGCAAGUGUUCCAUCUUCCCUGCAGGAGAGAUGGGGUCUGGGAGUCACGGAGUGGGUCCAGUCCUCCCUGCAGGAGAGAUGGGGUCUGGGAGUCACGGAGUGGGUCCAGUCCUCCCUGCAGGAGAGAGGGGGUCUGGGAGUCACAGAGUGGGUCCAGUCCUCCCUGCAGGAGAGAUGGGGUCUGGGAGUCACAGAGUGGGUCCAGUCCUCCCUGCAAGAGAGAUGGGGUCUGGGAGUCACAGAGUGGGUCCAGUCCUCCCUGCAGGAGAGAUGGGAUCUGGGAGUCACAGAGUGGGUCCAGUCCUCCCUGCAGGAGAGAUGGGGUCUGAGAGUUGGGGGACGAGGGUCCAGUCCUCCCUGCAGGUGAGAUGGGGUCUGGGAGGGGCAAGUGUUCCAUCCUCCCUGCAAGAAAGAAGGGGUCUGGGAGUCAGGGAAUGGGUCCAGUCCUCCCUGCAGGAGAGAUGGGGUCCGGGAGUUGGGGUGAGGGCUGGGGACUUAAGGCAAGGGUCCAGUUCCCCAGGCAGAGACUCACUUGAGGGCCAUGGGAAGUCAUUUAUCCCCUCCACACGAAGCCCCAUGGAAAGGAAAUGUUAAUCCUGCCUUUUUCAUGCUAAUCUGAGUCUACCUCCAAUUUUCCCAUUUCCAAUCCUUUCCCUACAGGCUUAUGGAUCUGGCAUAGGCAAGAGGUUCUGGUUUCAGGAAAGACUGGCUGUUCUCUUGAGAUCUGUAAAGAGAGGAUGUGAAAAAGGAAGGUCCUGGAAGGCAGUCAGAUGGAGCCCUGUUUCCCGCCUUUCCAUGUCCAUUCCUCCUGGGGCCCCUGAUCUGUCUCUCUGGAGAUACUCAAGCUCAGGCAGCCGUUGCCAACUCAGACUGGUCUGAGAAACACUUCUUGAACACUGGGCUGGGUGCUAGAGAGACACUGAGGUAGCCACAUCGGAUCCCUGCCCUCUGGGAGUUCACAGACCCAAACCCGGAACACCGUGAGCCAAAGUGGAUGUAGGGCAGGCUCUGGGUGUUGGGUGGACCCACAUCUGGUGUGUGUGUGUGUGUGUGUGUGUGUGUGUGUUUAGGUUGGGUGUACGAUGUGUCAGCAGAGCAUGCAGAAGUCCUCGCUGGAGUUUCAUAAGGCCAAUGAGUGCCAGGAGCGCCCUGUUGAGUGUAAGUUCUGCAAACUGGACAUGCAGCUCAGCAAGCUGGAGCUCCACGAGUCCUACUGUGGCAGCCGGACAGAGCUCUGCCAAGGCUGUGGCCAGUUCAUCAUGCACCGCAUGCUCGCCCAGCACAGAGAUGUCUGUCGGAGUGAACAGGCCCAGCUCGGGAAAGGGGAAAGAAUUUCAGCUCCUGAAAGGGAAAUCUACUGUCAUUAUUGCAACCAAAUGAUUCCAGAAAAUAAGUAUUUCCACCAUAUGGGUAAAUGUUGUCCAGACUCAGAGUUUAAGAAACACUUUCCUGUUGGAAAGCCAAAAAUUCUUCCUUCAUCUCUUCCAAGUCAAGUUGCUGAAAAUCAAACUUCCACGAUGGAGAAAGAUGUUCGUCCAAAGACAAGAAGUAUAAAUAGAUUUCCUCUUCAUUCUGAAAGUUCAUCAAAGAAAGCACCAAGAAGCAAAAACAAAACCUUGGAUCCACUUUUGAUGUCAGAGCCCAAGCCCAGGACCAGCUCCCCUAGAGGAGAUAAAGCAGCCUAUGACAUUCUGAGGAGAUGUUCUCAGUGUGGCAUCCUGCUUCCCCUGCCGAUCCUAAAUCAACAUCAGGAGAAAUGCUGGUGGUUAGCUUCAUCAAAAGGAAAACAAGUGAGAAAUUUCAGCUAGAUUUGGAAAAGGAAAGGUGCUACAAAUUCAAAAGAUUUCACUUUUAACACUGGCUUUCCUGCCUACUUGCUGUGGUGGUUUUGUGAAAAGUGAUGGGUUUUAUUCGUUGGGCUUUAAAAGAAAAGGUUUGGCAGAACUAAAAACAAAACUCACGUAUCAUCUCAAUAGAUACAGAAAAGGCUUUUGAUAAAAUUCAACUUGACUUCAUGUUAAAAACCCUCGACAAACCAGGCAUUGAAGGAACAUACCUCAAAAUAAUAAGAGCCAUCUAUGACAAAACCACAGCCAACAUCAUACUGAAUGAGCAAAAGCUGGAGCAUUACCCUUGAGAAGUAGAACAAGGCACUUCAGUCCUAUUCAACAUAGUACUGGAAGUCCUCACCACAGCAAUCAGGCAAGAGAAAGAAAUAAAAGGCAACCAAAAAGAGAGGAAGUCGAAGUAUCUCUGUUUGCCGACGAUAUGAUUCUAUAUCUAGAAAACCCCAUGAUCUUGGCCCAAAAGCUCCUAGAUCUGAUAAACAACUUCAGCUAACUUUCAGGAGACAAAAUCAAUAUACAAAAUACAGUAGCAUUUUUAUACACCAACGACAUCCAAGCUGAGAGCCAAAUCAAGAAUGCAAUCCUAUUCACAAUUGCCACAAAAAGAAUAAAAUACCUAGGAAUACAG
RNAcentral lists this long non-coding RNA (3719 nucleotides) under Pan troglodytes (chimpanzee). RNAcentral's name for it is "long non-coding RNA NONPTRT006629". Lineage: Eukaryota; Metazoa; Chordata; Mammalia; Primates; Hominidae. The record is from RNAcentral.